GGGUUCGAUCCUGGCUCAUAUUGAACGCUGGCGGGAUGCUUUACACAUGCAAGUCGAACGGCAGCACGGACUUCGGUCUGGUGGCGAGUGGUAUGAACGGUGAGUAAUGUAUCGGAACGUGCCUAUAGUAGCGGGGGAUAACUACGCGAAAGCGUAGCUAAUACGCAUACGCCCUUCGGGGAAAGGACCUUCGGGCCUGGCACUAUUAUUAGGAGCGUCGAUAUCGGAUUAGCUGUUGGUGGGGUAACGGCUCACCAAGGCGACGAUCCGUAGCUGGUUUGAGAGGACGACCAGCCACACUGGGACUGAGACACGGCCCAGACUCCUCCCACAGGAGGCAGCAGUGGGGAAUUUUGGACAAUGGGGGAAACCCUGAUCCAGCCAUCCCGCGUGGCGAUGAAGGCCUUCGGGCUGUAAAGCACUUCGCAGGAAGAACGGCACGGAUAAUACCCGCGCAAGGAUUUGUACCUUGCAGAAUACACCGGCUAACUACGUGCCGCUGCAGCCGCGGCUGAUGCAGGGUGCAAGCGCGUUAAUCGGAAUUACUGGGCGUGUCGCGCAGGCGGUUCGGAAAGAAAGAUGUGAAAUCCCAGAGCUUAACUUUGGAACUGCAUUUAACUACCGAGCUAGAGUGUGUCAGAGAGGGAGGUGGAAUUCCGCGUAGCAGUGAAAUGCGUAGAUAUGCGGAGGAACACCGAUGGCGAAGGCAGCCUCCUGGGACAACACUGAGACGCUCAUGCACGAAAGCGCGUGGGGAGCAAACAGGAUUAGAUACCCCGGGUAGUCCACGCCCUAAACGAUGUCAACUAGCUGCUAGCCUUCGGGCCUUGGUAGCGCAGCUAACGCGUGAAGUUGACCGCCUGGGGAGUACGGUCGCAAGAUUAAAACCAAAGGAAUUGACGGGGACCCGCACAAGCGGUGGAUGAUGUGGAUUAAUUCGAUGCAACGCGAAAACCUUACUCACCCUUUGACAUGUCUGGAAUCCCGAAGAGAUUUGGGAGUGCUCGCAAGAGAACCGGAGCACAGGUGCUGCAUGGCUGUCGUCAGCUUCCGUGUCGUGAGAUGUUGGGUUAAGUCCCGCAACGAGCGGCAACCCUUGUCAUUAGUUGGCGCUAUGAGUGGCACUCUAUCGAGACUGCCGGGUGACAAACCGGAGGAAGGUGGAUGACGUCAAGUCCUCAUGGCCCUUAUGGGUAGGGCUUCACACGUCAUACAAUGGUCGGGACAGAGGGUCGCCAACUCCAUGAGGGGGAGCCAAUCCCAGAAACCCGAUCGUAGUCCGGAUCGCAGUCUGCUGCAACUCGACUGUGCGGAAGUCGGAAUCGCUAGUAAUCGCGGAUCAACAGCAUGUCGCGGUGAAUACGUUCCCGGGUCUUGUACACACCGCCCGUCACACUCCAUGGGAGUGGGUUUUACCAGAAGUAGUUAGCCUAACCGUAAGGAGGGCGAUUACCACGGUAGGAUUCAUGACUGGGGUGAAGUCGUAACAAGGUAG
This 1495-nucleotide ribosomal RNA is filed under the name uncultured Bordetella sp. Its description in RNAcentral is "partial 16S-23S ribosomal RNA intergenic spacer". It matches the Rfam family "Bacterial small subunit ribosomal RNA". Lineage: Bacteria; Pseudomonadati; Pseudomonadota; Betaproteobacteria; Burkholderiales; Alcaligenaceae. The record is from RNAcentral.